This is a non-coding RNA of Pelobates cultripes (western spadefoot toad), 1200 nucleotides long. NCBI's taxonomy places the organism in Eukaryota, Metazoa, Chordata, Amphibia, Anura, Pelobatidae. The record is from the annotation of a GenBank genome assembly.
CCACUGUAAGAUUUAUAUUCUAUAGGUUUAAAAACAAAAGAACCCCCACAAACAAACCUCAAAACAUUUCUUUGUAAAAGGGUGCAAAGAAAAAGGAUAUAUCCACAUUGUAAAGCGUUUUCCUUGAUAAACUGUCUGGUAGCUCAUAGUAUUUGUAAUAUCUUUAAAGAAAGGGAAAAAAAAAUAACCACCAAACAUUUCUAGUGAUAAACAGAAGAUACAUGGUUUAGGGAAGAAGAUAACUCUAGGAUAGAGAAUGCAGCAGCAGCAAGUGACAAUCAGUUAUGCUCUUUACCUAGAAGUCAGGAAUGCUCUGAAAAUUGAGGAGUACACUUAAGCAUGGUUAUGGUGGUACAAAUGCUCUGGCAUUCUCCCUAGGUUUGCCAAGACCGCUUCCUGUCUCCACUACUUUCCACAAAGAUGUCGGAGCUAAGUCCAGCAAUGCAGGGCUAAGCUCUGUCAAAAUUAGUGGAGACGGGGAGUGGAGCCUGGCAGACCCAGGCUAAUGAGUCAAACCAUUCCAAAGUUGCAGGGCUUAGCUCAGGAGCCCAACUGAAGCUCUUAAAGGACAACUGUCACCUCAAAACUAUUUGGAAUAUAAUAAUCCUUUCAUCAAGUUUUAAAAGGAAAUAGAUUAGAUAGUCUAGGUUAAAAAAAAAAUAUAUAUUUUUUUUAAAUUAGACAAAUGCAUCCCUACCUCAAGUAUAGGACAAUAUCCUUCAACCAUUCAAUCUUCAUUAAAGGAUUAUUAUAUUAAAGAUAGUUUUGAGGUGACAGUUGCCCUUUAAGCAGGAUCUUCUGAAUCUCUGUCUGACCUAGUGGAGCCAUGCAGACUCAAGGUAAGAGAUCAAACCAUGAUGAUACUGAAUACGUUAAAUAUAUAAUGAAACUACAAAGUCAGAUGAGAGUAAUUCUGCAAAACCACUGAAAAGCAGUAUUCCAUUUUUAAAACUAUGCAAAAUAAAAAAAAGUUUUGUAAGAUUUAUAUACCAUAAACAAAUCCCCUACUAGUAUGAAGGCGGUCAUAUGAAGUAUUUGUAGGCGUGACGGCUAAUAACAUUUUAUAACGUCCACUAUGUCAGUAUAAAAACAAAGUGCUUAUCUACGCACCCCAUGACUUUUUUUUUUUUUAAUGCACAUUUUUCAUGUAUUACAACAGACUAAUCUGAAGGAAUAACACCUCACAAACCUAAAAUUAUA